CACGAAUAAAAAGAUCACGGAAAAGCCUUCUCAGGUAAGCAUAAUCUGGUUUAUCAUCAAAACGCAAUGACCGACAGUAAUGGAAGUAGGAUGCAAAUUCUGUGGGAUAAGUCCGACAUAAAGCCUCAAUAGAAGUAGAUACUUUCUUUUCACUGAUCUUUUCAUACUUUUGCUUCUUGGUCCCCGCUUUUAGUCCUUGCCAUGGAAGACUUCCUCUUAAAAAAUACAUCAGAACAUAUCCAAGAG
RNAcentral lists this unclassified non-coding RNA (246 nucleotides) under Hevea brasiliensis (rubber tree). Lineage: Eukaryota; Viridiplantae; Streptophyta; Magnoliopsida; Malpighiales; Euphorbiaceae. The record is from RNAcentral.